Meleagris gallopavo (turkey) is the source of this 120-nucleotide non-coding RNA. Lineage: Eukaryota; Metazoa; Chordata; Aves; Galliformes; Phasianidae. The record is from RefSeq and is a predicted model, not a curated record.
AGGAAUCCAGCCACCAACAGCAAGUAACACUGGUCAGAAGGCUACAGUUGCAGAGCAGGAAUUAUACAGGAGGUAUGAGCAGGAGCAGGCCCUGGUUCAAGAGGAGCUGCUCCGGCUGGC